GGACUACAGGGGUUUCUAAUCCUGUUCGCUCCCCUAGCCUUCGCACAUCAGCGUCAGGUACAACCCAGAGUGCCGCCUUCGCCACUGGUAUUCCUGCGGAUAUCUACGCAUUUCACCACUACACCCGCAAUUCUACACUCCUCUGUUGCCCUCCAGACGACCAGUCUCAGCCGACCCUUCCCAGUUGAGCCGGGAGCUUUCACAGCUGACUUAAUCAUCCGCCUGCGUGCGCUUUACGCCCAGUAAAUCUGGAUAACGCUUGCACCCUACGUAUUACCGCGGCUGCUGGCAC
Molecule: ribosomal RNA, 292 nt
Filed under: uncultured bacterium
Lineage: Bacteria
Description: partial 16S ribosomal RNA
Source: RNAcentral